UUGCAAGUUGGAUGAGUUUUCAUAGUGAGCCUCCUGUCAUAAAAUGGGCCCCCGGAAGUCUCAUGUUUGUUACGGGGUCAUCUGAGCUAUCAUUUUGGAAUCCUAAUGUGUCUAAACUAGGAGCUUACGUUGGGAGGAAGUAAAGUUUCUAACACUCACCACCCUUAAGUAUCUGAAUAUUGAUGUCUAUCUAUUGCCGGGAGGGGAACUUGUUUGUAUAAGAAGUUGCACCGAUUAUGUAAGGAGAUGUUCAAUUUCCUAUGGUAGUAUGUAAAUGCAUCUGACUUACCUGCUAGUAACCUUUCCUAACAAGUUCUGAAGAAACAACAGUAGAUCUGGUAUCAAUACUUUAUUCAGAAGAGCAUUUCUUCUUACAUGCACAGCUAAGAGUACAUGAAUUGAGCUACUGAAGCCCUUCCUGACCAACCUGGCUAAGGCUCCUUGCAGUUUGUCCUCUUCAUGGUUCUUUGGCAGGCAACAGCGUAAGCAAUUGCCUGGACUAUGAGGCCUUUUGUAGCGGGGUGGGCACUGCCUAGGCAGUUUUUUGAAAAAACUAGGAGCUUUAUUUGUCUUUGACAUUUGUAGCACGAUUAGUUAUUACCUGGAUUAAGUUGUAUAUAUUACAUCGUAUACCUAAUCUGACAAAUAACAGGUUGCAAUCCAAGUUUUGUUGAUCAUGAAGGGUUUGAGCAUGAUAGUCCAUUUAGGUCAUUAGGUCAGCCGAAUGGAAGACCAAUGGAUUUGGAGGGUUUGUCUACAACGCAAACUAAGCUAAUAAUGCCUGUUCAUUGUUUUAUACUUGCCAUGUAUUUUUUUCCUGUAAUUGUCAGAUUGAUGUACAAGUUAAAAUGAUUGUAAAUAAAUUAUAUAUUAUAAUUUUAAAAAUAUUAUAAGCCCAUUGGUUUCAUAUAUAUAUAUAUAUAUAUAUUAGCUUUCUCUCCUACACCCAGGCUUUAUGCCUCUCGUGCCUCAGUUUGAUGUGAAGAAAUGGUCCAUCAAGGCCAUUGGUAAUAGUCAGCAAUAGCAAUAUUGCCUUUCUUCAAUCACAGCAAUGUUUAUUGGGUACGCAGGAUCAAUUAUCUUCAGUAAUUAACAAUUUAACAUAAUAAUAUAUCAUGUUUAUAAAUAUGUAAAUAAAUUUUAUUCAAUAUUUAUAGUUUUAUAGUAAUUUAAUAAUAAAAUUUACCAAACAUAUACAACUAUUUUUAUAACUCACAGCUCCUUUAAAAAGAAGUUUUUGUAAACGUUUAAUUAAUUUUCUUUACAAUUGAUUAUUUCUAUAGCACAGCUAACAUCAAUUAUUUUAAAAGCUACAACAUUACCAAAUUGGCCCCUUACUCUUUUUAUCAAAAUUAUUAUUUAAAAGUUCUAACUAUUUUUAUAACUCACAACUCCUUUAAAAAGAAGUUUUUGUAAACGUUUAAUUAAUUUUCUUUACAAUUGAUUAUUUCUAUAGCACAGCUAACAUAAAUUAUUUUAAAAACUACAACAUUACCAAAUUGACCCCUUACUCUUUUUAUCAAAAUUAUUAUUUAAAAAUUCUAAUUGCAACACGUUACCAACUUUUAUUUCACAUCUACAAUUUUUUUUCACAACAGCUAUACCUUAAAAGUCGCAUCAUCUUAAUACCAAAUAGGGCCAUAGUAAUUUGGGACCUUUUUUUCCCCCUUUCUCCUCUUCUUCAUCAACUUAAAAAAAAACUAGAAACAAAUCAGAGAAAUUGAGUAUGAAAUUAAGCAUUAGUCGAGUAUGAAGUUGGGUGAGUCGAGUAUAAAAUUAAGUACUUUUCUAUAUGAUUUUAAAUAAAGGGUAUUUUAAUAUUUUUCUGUGUGAUUUUGGAUAUAUUUCUAUAAUACCAGUAAACUAUGUAAUAAGCAUAUAUUUGUUAUUUUGUUGUGAAUGGGACAUAUCUGGCGCCAUUUGCUCCCGUGACCGAUCUUUAUAACAGAUCCAAUUACCCUCGUUAUAUUCACUGGAUCGAAAGCUGACAUAGCACAAUUCUGAUAUGUAAUGUGAGUGAUGGGAGAGUCACAAAUUAUUGUAUAAAUUUAUUUGAUCUAAAUUAAUUAGUAUAAAUUGAUAGAAAUAUAAAAUAAUAAAAAUAUAAAUCACGUAGACCAAGGUGUAUUUAAUAAAACUAAUAAAAUUUUACUCAAUCAGUUAAUAUAAGAAUUUGUAAUUUUAUUAUUACUCAUGGUACUUGAACAGUGGCUGAUUGGUCAACUAGUGAUAUAAGUGGCAACGACUAAACUGUUGAGUCUCUACGUGGGUUUUCAAAAUGAGUCAAGAGUCAAGAAAUUAGCUGUAAACAUGUCUUUGAGAUGAUACAUUGUCAUCAUCAGCAUCAUAUCCUAAUUGACAAAGAAGGAUUGCGAGGGAAACUAAGCAUGUGCCUUCAUUUUCACUUGAAAUAAAGCGCAAGGGAAAGAUCUCAUGUUAUCACAUGAUGCCGUGUGAUCACCUAGAAGCCCUUCCACGUAUAUUUCUUCUCAAAUUGUCUUCUUCUAAUUUCUUGGGCCACCGCGGAACCACAAUGUCAAUGGAUGAGCGAGUGUUGCUCAGCUCGCAGCAUUUGGAGCCGGAGCUCAGCUUCCCUUAUUUGUUGGUCGUUUGGUAGGCGUCGCCAAAGGGCAAAGAGGAUCCUCUGGCGUUCGUGGAGCUGGUCCUCAAUGCGAUUGAUUUCUUCUCCAAGUUGAGCAAGUCUUUGUACCAUAGCCAUAGAAUUAUUUACUUUGGACCGAUGCAAUUCUCUUCUAAAAAUUUCAGGGAGCACUUUUCAUCUGCACCCAAAGAUUUCAUCAUAAUUUUAUUGUAUACACACUUGCUUCAACAGCUAUCACGGCUCACUCUUUUUUUGUUAAAUAUUGUUGUUGCCAUUAAUUUUGACAUAUUUGACGUUAAAAGACAACUUUACCUUUAUUUAUAUUUUUUAAUACAAAAUUACCAAAAAACCACAACACCAAUUUCUAAUUCCAAUUGACUUGUGGGGAUAUUAAAAUUUAAUUUUGGCAUCUUUGACCUUAAAAGAUAAUUUUACCCUUAUUUAUAUUUUUUAAUGCAAAAUUACCAGAAAAACCACAACACUAGUUUCCAAUUCUAACUCACCUAUGUGGAUAUUAAAAUUUCUUAAAGGUUAGAAAAAAAGUAAAAAUGUGUUGUUCAAAAUAUCUCCUCUGCCAUCAUCCAUAAACGUCCAUUCUUCAUAACAAUCUAGUAAACUUGCAAAAAGCAAGAUCCCAGUCAAUCAACCAGCCAAAAUUCUUCAUAAAGUUUAGCUUUUCUUAAAAAAACUUAAAUCUUGAGUUAAAAAUUUUAAUUCCUGAGACCCUAAAUUAACUGGUAUUGAAAGUCGCAUGUUUCUAUAACAAAAAUCUUCAAAAAUAACACUACAAUGAAAAUCUUCAAGUUAAAUAAAAAUUUAUAUUCAUAAUAUUUAUGAAUAAAUUAUAAAUAAUAUAGAGUGGUUUAAUUGAAUAUAGAGUAGUUUACAAUUUUAUAGUGUAUUCACUAAAUAGGAAUCGAAAUUAUUUGGAAACAUAAUGAGUUAGAAUCAGAAUAUGUAGAAUCGAAAUAAGGAAUUAGAAUCAGAAUAAUUUAUUUACUUGAACUGUAGGAAUCGUAAUUAGAAUGAGUUGUUUACGUGUUUACUUUGUCUUAGAAUCAAAAUCGGAAUUAGUUAAAUUGUAACAAAUUACUAUAAAAUCCUUAAUUAAUUUUUAUCAUAAUUAUUAUUUCUUAUUUUAACUAUUGUGAUUAUUAUUAAUAAAAAAAUUAUUUAUUAACAAUAAUUAUUGUUAAUUAUUAUUAUUAUUAAAAAGUUAACUAAAAAUUAUUAUUAAUUAUUGUUAAUAGAUUAAUUAAUUAUAAUACUUUUUAUUCUUGUUAUUAAUAAUAAUAAUAAUCCAUUUAUAAUUUAUAAUUUUAUUUAUAAUUAAGUGGAAAUUAAAGUGGUAGGGUCCCAAUCAAAAUGUGGCACGAACACAUUUAUCCAACAGCAAGAUUUUUCGAUUGCCAUCCCCACUAAUUUGGUGUAAUGACUAAGAGUUAAUUGAAAAAUAUUUAGUUUAAUUUUACAUUUAAUUUUUUUCAUUUUUGUAUUAAGAAUUAUUUGAAAAAUUAUUAUAUUCCCUUAAUUUUACCAGAAUCCCGUUGACUUAGCCCCGAGUCUCUUGAUUAAAGCGUUUUAAAAAAAAAAAAGUUCAAAAGAUUCAGAUAGCUCACUCGAUUAUAGGGCGUCUGCACCUUACGCUCGCUUUUGUUGUGCUGCCAGUAGCUGCUGCUUCCUUCAAGACCGAGCUCUCUGCCGCUGUUGCUUCCUUCAAGACCGAGCUCUCUAAGCCCCUCACUGUCGAUUUUGACCUUUGCUUCCUUUUGGCUUCACGAUCUAGAAGCCAUCGUCGCUUCAUUCAAGCCAUCACUUCACGAAAGAAAAAAUAAUAAUAAUAAUAGUGGUAAUAAUAAAUACUCUUACAGAUCUCUUCUUCAUCAAAUUUGUAAAAUUUAGAGAAAAUGCAAAACAGCAAUAAUGAUGAAGCUUCGGUGACAAAGACGACGGAGAAGCCGCCGCUGCCGAAGCGAUCGAAGACGAUCUCGACGACACUCACUUCCCAGGCCCACUUUUUCCCGCCGUUCGCCAAACCGACAAGCCGUUCGAUCUCCGCGUGUCCCUUGACUCCGAUGCUGUGGCGUCGUCUUCUUCGUCGUCGUCGUCGAGUAAUGGGUUUAACGAAAGAGACUGGAUGUACCCGUCGUUCUUGGGCCCGCAUAUGGGUCGGAGGCGGAUCAAAGUCAAACCCAAUAAGCUUGAAUUUAAAGGAAAUGAGGAGCAGAAGAAGAUUCAAGAGUUGGGUUCGAAGAAAGAAGAGAAGGAGGUGGCGAGUUUUUCAGUGACUCAGACGAGUUCAGUGAGUCAGUUGAGUGGAAAGACUCGUGGGUUAAAGAGCUCCUUGAUGACGUAUUACAUGGUUAGUAGUUUGAGUUGAGCUCAACUGCUGUAAAUUUCUUUAUAUUUUAGCUUAAAACGUUGACAAAUUAAACUUAAAAAAUCAAUGAAAUGUAAAGCUGGUAUUUUUCUUUUUCUUUUUUUCUUUCUAUCACUAAAGAAGAUAAAGAAUCGUGAUCAUAAAAUCUAAGUAUUACGAAUGCAAUCUUCAUCGCAAUUGAACAUUGUAGGACUAUUUUCUAAAGUUGAAUGAAAUCAACAUAUUCACGCAUACAGCCCAGCAAAAGAAAACUUCACUCAAUGAAAACCGACGCCAAUGCUUAAUUAAAGUCAAACACAUGACAUUAAGAAAUUUCUAAUAAUCUUAGAAAUAAGCUAGUCCAUAAUCACUUGAGAUCAUUUCCUCACCCCAUAAUCCAUCAACUAACUGAGAAAUGACAACUCACCAAUUAGUUUUUCAUCAGAACUCAUAACACAGCACUUACCCAUUCACAUAAUAAAAGUAUUGACAUUAAUGAGAGCGUAACUUAAUCAAAUAAUAAUCCAUUAAUAAAAUGAAAAUUAACAACUUAUACCUUCAUAGAUGAUUCUUGUGCACUUGACUUUCUAAGCAAAGAACGUCACUAUUCUUUUCAAGAAGGCAGCCACCACAAAGCAUAGAAGCUUCUUCAUAUAAUAGUACAACAAUCAAAACCUGAAACAUACGCAUUAGUAUUAAUUUAUUAUAAUUUAGCAGCAGUAAAUAUUUUUAUAAAAAAGUUAUCUGCAGUAAAUAUAAGAAUAACAAAGAAUAAAAUCUUAGAUCAACAACAGAGAACCUAAACUCUACAACUUGCUUGAACUACUAUCAACAUCAUACUGCAUAAUCAAAUAGACAAAAUAGUUUAAUAUAUAAUUUGUAUUGACCUGCAUACUAUCACGUAAAAAAUAUUGUAACAAAAACAAAACAUAAAAUUGUUUGGUGAUCACAAUGGAUCCUGGAAUGACAACAACUACAUUAUUAUAAUGAGUUUGACAUGUCAUUGUACAUGGAUUCGUUAUGAUGAAUCAUGAAACACCGUUGAGUAGUUAAUUCAGCCACUUUUCACCUAUAAAUUUGAUGGCAUACUUUGAAUACACAACAUGGUUAUAAAUAUAAGUUUAGAGAAUUUUUGUGGGAAAGAAUAAUUUUGUUGACAAAAGAUUAAGUACAAAAAUUAUAACAUCUCCAUUUUUAAUAUAGCUGACAUAAGUUAUUCGAGUGAAAAAAAAAAAAGAGGGAACUUAGAUACGCCAUAUUAAAUAGGGCAGUAAUAAAAAAAAUCUAAUUGACAUAAAUUAUUUGAGCAAAUGACAAAUUUUUGCUAAGAAACUCGUUUUCAUUUUUUCCCAAAUAAUAAUCAAUGUUUUUUUCCACUACGCAUCGAAAGAGCUCGCAUCGACAUCAAUCAUGAACCAGUCGUGGCCUAGCUAUAUUGCCUGCAUUAUGAAUACCACCUAUGACCUUUACAGCCUAACCGUUUAUCUCAGUCUAUUUUUAAUACUCAGUCACAGGUCCAGACCAUUCAAGUUCAGGACAUGACCCUACUGGUCCCAUUAUAUAUCUAUUUAAAUUUCUUUUUUUUUAGAAUGUCUAUUUAGAUUUCUUAAAUUUAAAAAACAAAUCAACUUCUAGCCCUUUAAAAAAAAAAAAAUCUAAAAUCAACAAAGCUAUUAAUUUGAAGAUAUUUUGAAUUCCAAUUCCCAAUUAAAAUCAUGAAUAUAUCAGCUAUAUCAUAGCUUCAGCAUAACUAGUAAGUGGUGACAUCAAAUUUUCAAAUAUUUGGAACUGGAAGCAAAUAUCUAGUUAAUGAUUAAAGUAGUUGACGAAUAAAACCUCUCGUAUUAUCAUAGAGGCUACCCCAAUAGCUUGCAAUAACUAUGUAUGGUGCAGUAAAGUUUCAGGAUAGAUGAAUAAACUAAAAAGCAAAAGAGAAAUAUCAGUUGCAGCAAGAACUACGUCAUCUCCACCUCGAUUAUUAUUCAAAUAUUAACACCAAAUGUCACUGAACAACACAAGAGAAACAUGAUCCAUAUUUUAAAUGUAUCUGAAUAGCAUAAAUAUGAAAAUCAUUGCAGAAAGUAAAAAAAAAAAAAGAAAAAAGUAAAGAGAAAUUUAUCUCACAGCAUUCCUAUUAUUAAAAAAUAUCAAAUAAAUGUGCUCCGAGAUAUAACUUCAUGCACAUUCAGAAGUUCUCAGGCCAAAGAACAUUAUAGCAACUACAAAAACUCAUGAGCCAGCAGGUCUUGUCCCAGUACAAGGUGAAGCAACUAAAAUUAUGCUUUAAGAACUUUAUAUAUAUAUAUCACGAACGCAGGAAGAAAAUUAUUUCUAUAUCAAAAUCAAGAUCACCCAACCAAACAAUGGUACCUUCCAAUAUACCUAGUGUAUGUAUAUAGGCAUCCAUUGAUUGAUACUUUGAAUUUAAUUAAUAAAUCAAUUUCAGGUGUCAUGUUUCCACAUUAAAGAGAGAUAAUAACAAUUAACUAGAUAUGACAGGACUGGAUAAAAAUUUGCUCAAAAUAUACUACAAAGAUCAAAUUUUAUUACUUUUCACCUGCUGUCAUUUCUCUCCAACGUCAGAUCAUGACCUCGAGCAACUCUUUCGGCUUUCUUCGCCCAUUUUUCUUCUUUUUACAGCAUGAAGCUAAUACGAAGCCAAAUGAAAAGUAGAUUAGUCAUUUCAAAUUCAAUUUAAUUGUCAAUUGAAAAGUUCAAUUGUUACCUUCAUCAGCUGUAGAAUCAAUAGUUAAUGAAAUAUACAAUAAGAAGAGUAAAAAAUUUCACCUGCAAAUUAGGACAGCCGAGGAAGCAUCCGUAAACAUAAGAGUAAUUAUAUCACUCUGAAAUUUCAUAAGAGAGAAUUAGGACAGCAGCGAAAGAAAUAAACAAAGCAAUUUGCAAAGGACACAGGCAUAAACAUGAUAGUAAGAAUAAAAUAUCAAACUGUAAGAAGAAGCGAGAAAAACAAAUCAAAAACAAACUGAGAAGCAGGAAGAGCUGUGAUGGUAAAUUCUUCAUCUAAAGCAGUUGAAGAACGAGCAAUGGAUACCGGUCCUUCUUCGUGCUAUCGAGAAAGGAGUCAGAGUUGAGAUCGAGAGAACAACGGAGACCGAUUCUUCGUCUCCGUAAUUUUCCCCUUUUUCUAAAAUGCUAUUUCGCAUUUCCUUUGCUUUUUGGUUUCCGUAUUUCGAUUUUGUUUUUAAUUAGGUAAGAAAAAAAGAUCGGGCCCUAUUUCAAAAGAAAAAUAAGAAGGGGCCCUAAAAGUAAUUUUUCCGAGCCCAUGCAUUCGAUUAAAAUAUUUCAUUAUCUUAGUGGACAGAUUGCCCAAGAAAAAAUAUUCGAUUAAAGCACAUAUUUUAAAAGGUAAAUAACGCGCUCAGAGAUGUUUAAUCAAUAAUACAGUUGUUUAUUAUAGUGAUAACUACUACUUAUAUAUUAAUUCUUCAAAAUAAUUCCACAUUUAUCAUAUUAUCAUUUACUUAUUUUGUAAGCGUUUUAAAGAUAUUUAAAAAUUUUUCCAUUUGACAAUGCUCAAUUAAGGGUAAAGUUUAAAUUAUGUCACAAAAAGUUUUUGAACAGCAUUACACAAAGCAUUUACUGUUUUAACAAAAGAAUGCAUAUGAGGGGACAAAAAAAAGUAAAAGUAUGAGUUUGACUAUUAUCACAGUAAUUAUUUCUAUUUCAAAAGUUGAAAUGUGAACCUUAACAUAUUUUGCGGAAUUUUUUCAAUUACUUUUUAAAAUUACAUGUACAUGGAUGAUUGCUUACUAUUGUGAAAGGCGAUAUAUUUAAUUUGAAGAAAAUUCCUUCUAGACCGGUAGCGUUGGUCGUAGUUGCCCUGUCGAAGAAGUGUUGUUAGCUCGAAACCUAUUGCAAAUGUCAAUGCAAAAUGGUUUCAAUGUUUCGUUGUAGAGCUGACGACAAGCUUCUGAAAACAACGUGCCAUAUUGAAACACAACAACAAUAAUGGCAGUGCCAAUCCAUGUCGUGUACAAAAUGAAAUGGCCAAUAUUGGAACGUGGAAUAAAUGUGGAGACCAAUGAUAUUGCCGAAUUCGAUCCUGAGACAAUAGCAACAAGGCCCCAGAAUUGGGAAGAAUUUUCUAGAUGAAGCCGAGACUUGAGGUCUGCUGAAUGUGCAUAACAAUAUAUGGCUGUGGCAAUGAGAAAAGACAAUAUAUUUAUUGAGUGUGUUUCAAGCAAGGGCUUAGUUUUGCCUUGCACAUUUGCACCCACAAUGCCAAUGAGAGCUGGAAUCAGAUAUCCAAAAAUGCUGGGAUAUGACAUCGACCAGAAGAGAUUUCGCCCACUGCAAGAUCAUUAAAAUGAUUAAAUCAUCUUUUGUAUAUCCCAUUUUUUGACAAAAAAUUAAAAUUGAAAAGCUCUUGUAUUAAUUUCCUCUCAGUUUGUCUAUCAAUUUUUUUUCUUUUGACUGAAGCAAUUCUCCUCUAAAAAUUUGAGGGAACACUUUUCAUCUGCACCCAAAUGUUUCAUCAAAAUAUUAUUGUAUACCCAAAUGUUUCAUCAAAAUUUUAUUGUAUACACACUUGUUUCAAUAGCUAUCACGGCUCACCCAUUUAUGUUAAAUAUUUUUUUUUUUGCCAUUAAUUUUGACAUCUUUGACAUUGAAAGACAGUUUUGCCCUUACUUAAAAUUUUUAAGUGUAAAAUCACCAAAAAAAACUACAACACUAGUUUCAAAUUCCAAUUGACGUGUGUGAAUAUUAAAAUUUCUUAAAAGUUAAAGAAAAAAAGUAAAAAUAUUUUGUUAUGGGAAUCAAAAUAUCCCCUGUACCAUCAUCAUCCAUAAUCGUCCAUCCAUGAUAACAAUUUAAUAAACUUGAAAAAGCUAGAAAUCCAAUCCCAGUGCAUCAAACAGCCAAUUUUCUUCAUAAAGUUUAGCUUUUGCUUUUAAAAAUUCUAACUCUUGAGACCCUAAAUAAACCCAUAUUCAAAGUUACAUGUUUCCAUAUAACGAAAAUCUUCAAUUUACCCCUUUAAAAUUUUGAAAACAUUAAUUUACUUCUAUUUAUCAGUCAAAAGAUUAAAAUAAAUGGAGACACGUUGAGGAUAAACUUUUUAACUUCAAAGUGGUAUUUGAUAAAUAUAAAUAAAUUGAAAAUUAUCAUUUUUUAGUGGGAAUAAGUUACUAAGAGAAAGAAAGAAAACAGAAAACAAAUCUCUUCUAUAGCAGUCUUAACAAAAUUUUCAGCAGGGACUUGAACCAAUUUUUUCACGGAAAUUAAUUAACAGAACAAAAACGCUUUGAAGUGGACUGCACAUAUAUAUAUAUAUACUCAAAAAUAAAUAUACAACUGGAGUCAAUAACGGUAAAUAAAAUGAACGUACACAGAAGGGUUUGGAUUUGGAUGAUGAAGAAUGCACUGACAGCUUUGCAUUUGCAUGCAUAUAUAUCUCAGCAAACCCUGGAUUGAGUUCUUUUUCUCUCGGUAAAUAAGGUAGGGAACAGCAAACCCGAUCAAUUUUCAAAAAAGAAAAAACAAAAACAAAAACUGAAAUGUAAACUCAGCAUGAAACUUGGGAGGGAAAGGGGAGGGGUGAAAAACGGUCACCUUGAGAACCGUCUCAAUUAUCUCUGCUUCAAAAAAUCAUCCCGUGGGUAUUUAUAUUUUAUUUUCAAGUCGUUGAUGCCGCGAGUCCACGGCUGGAUAAGUACGGGGUUUCGAAGAAAUAACGUGCGCGAUUCUAAACAUUGUUUAAUUACAAUUCCAAAGUGUUGAAAAUGACUGCGUUAUCCCCCGACUUUUUCAAUUCCUACCGAGUGUUGAAAAUGACUGCGUUAUCCCGUCUUUUUCAAUUCCGACCGAGUGCUGAAAAUGACAGCGUUAUCCCCUGUCUUUUUCAAUUCAAAAGUGUGUGGCAUCUCUGUAGCUCAAUUCAUGUACCCCUAGAUGUACAUGUAAGAAGAAAUGCUCUUCCAAAUAACAUAUUGAUACUAGAUCUACUGUUGUUUCUUCAGAACUUGUUAGGAAAGGUUACUAGCAGGUAAAUUAGAUGCAUAUACAUACUGCUAUAGGAAAUUGAACAGCUCCUUACAUAAUUGGUGUAACUUCUUAUACAAACAAGAUCCCUUCCCGGCAAUAGAUAGACAUCAAUAUUCAGAUACUCAAGAAAUUAUAAGGGUGUUGAAUGUUAGAAACUUUACUUCCCCCCAACAUAAGCUCCCAGUUUAGACAGAUCAGGAUUCCAAAAUGAUAGCUCAGAUGAUCCGAUACAAACAUGAGACUUCCAGGGGCCCAUUUUAUGACAGGAGGCUCUGUAUGAAAACUCAUCCAACUUGCAACCCUGACAAGAAAAAUAAACAACAACAAACAAUGUUUAUAUAAUAACAAUACCAACGUCAAAAGAGUAUAGUAUUUGGAUAUAGAACUCAUUACGCAAACUGGUGCUCAAGGUACUUGCUCAAAUGUAGAAUCAAAAGCAUUGUUGGUUUGCCCAGAAGACUGUGAAUACUAUGACUGGGUCAGUGUAGGGGAAAUAACAUCCCUUUGAAUUCUAAGCAUUCAAAAGGCACGAGAAUCAAGGAAUUUUGCUUAUCAAACCUCUUUCCCGCUCCUUGCACUCCAAGCAUAUACACUACCAUCACCAGAACCUUCCAAAACCCAAGAAAGUAAAAUUAGCACAGAGAGUGCAACUAAUGAGAGGUGCUUGGCCACACUAGGUAGGUUGCUUCCGCAUGUGUGGGUGCACUCACUAUGUCAGCAUUUCAUUGAUUUAUUUUCAUUAACAAGCAGGUCAAUGGAAAAAGAGAACAUAAAUUCAUUGCAAAGAACUCUGUGGAAACAAGCUUGAUGCCCAACAUUUCAAGUCGUGUAUUUCAAAUACCAACAAGGUGGUAACAAAAUUGAGAAUUAUAUACAGCACAAGUGCAAGAACCUUAAUAAACAGCCAAAAGCAAAUAUUAAUAAAUUAUCCAAGUCACUGUGCCCUAAGAACUGAAAGGAGAAACUCUACCUAGCUGAAAGAUGCCUCCAAUGUGGAAUUGCGAGAAACUGGCAUCGCAUUAUAAAUGGAUAAAUAAAAACAACAGCAAACAGAAGCUCAUUAACAGAGAUUCCAAUGUAUAGAGGGAUAUAUAUGUACAAUAUGUUACAUUUGGGAGAUGAAGAAAGAAAAAGUAAACUCACAAGUGUGCCUUGGAAUGAGUGGAGCACAUGAAUAUGUCCUUCCAUAGUGGUCAGAAGCAUGUCUCCCAUCAUUGCUGAGCUUUACCUCAUUAGCAUCUGAUACAUCUCCACCAUCAGAGAAGAUGUCGAAAGGACCCUAAGAGUAUUCAAAUUUAACCAAAUUAGUGCAUGAUAAAAGGACUACGACAUAUAAACUUCCAAGAUAUUCUUAAAUAUUAAUUUUAACCUCAUACUUGCGAGCAUCAAACAAUCUUAUGUAUCCUCCAAAGGCAACUGCAAAGACAUGCCCUUGAUCAUUGUAUGCUGUAGCAGGCCUUCCUUGAACAUGCAAAAGACCCUGAUUUGCCAACAGAGAUCAUAAAUACAAUUGAAAAUGGGGGAAAAAACGGUUUGGAUGUGACCAUGCAUGGCAUGAUAUCCACCUGGCAUUUCUCAGCCUGUUGAUCCCAGAGCAGAACAGUUCGAUGAAGAGAACCAUAGAUAAAGCAAUCUUUGGAGGAGCACAGGCUAAGUGAAACAACCCUAGAAGCAGUAAAACAUAUAUAAAGAUAAUAAUGAUUACAAAACAUUUACAAGAAUCAGCAAAUUACAAACCUUUCAUGAUGACCUUUGAAGCAAUGCAUGAACUUGUUGUCGUGGAAGGAAAGAAGCCUUAGAGAUUCUGAAUAAAUGAACAUAUCAAAUAAGUGCCUAGUAAAGCAAUCCACCAACAUGCAAAACACAAAUAUUCCGAUAAACAUACCAUCCCAACCAUUCUUGAGGAAUAUAUGAAAUGUAAGUUAGGGAUUGCCAAGAAAAAAACUUUGAUCAAUUUCCAGCUGAGAAUAUUUAUGCCAACUCUUGCCGCAAUCACAUCUGCAAUAGUUCCCACUGUUGGAUACACUAACUUAUAAACAGCAAUUCUGACAGAAAAAAAAACGGGGGUUAAAGUUAUAAGUACAAUCAAUUAGGUGGUAGCCAUGCAAUAUGAAUGUACUUGGUUUGCUGCCUAAUAGCUAGGCAUACAUAUAUAUAGGCAUUCAUUAAUAUCGAAUUAUUUUUAACAUUCAAAUAAGUUAGAAAAAACAUAGAAAAACUUACGGGGCACAUAUCGCCAUCCCACUGGCUAGCCCAUAAAAGAAGCCAUCGACGACCUCCGGAACACCAGCAUUUCCAGCAGCAGCUGAUGCUACAUGGCUAAUGUGUACACACACAUGUUCAUCUCUCAAUAUCAGUGUGUGCAAUAAGUGAAAAGAUAUAUAAAUUAGAUUGAAAGCACAAGUAAAUAAACAUGAAUGAAUACCUGCCAUGUCCAACAGCAUGAAAGGGCGAAAGAAAGUCCACAGAAGUGUUAAGAAUAUAUGAAAUGUAUAUUCUUGAGGAAAUUACAACAAUUUCCUCUCAAUUUCACAAUUAUUUGCGCUUGAAUGACAGAAUGAGCUUUGAUCAUUAAUUUAUCCAUGCAUGAAGUUAUAGUAGAUAUGAAAUUACGUGGACAAAAAAUUAUUAUUUUUUACCUUUUUUUACCAACACCGAUAUGCUCACACCAAACUUCUUUUACAGUUAGCACAAAACGGUUCGUUUUGUGCUAACUAUAAAAGAAGUUACUGUAGCUUCAAAACACACGCACUCGUCUUGCUCAGACGCAAGCGCAGACCACACGCACACUCGUCUUACUGAAACGCAAACGCUGAGGAGGCAGAGACUCGCCGUGGAAAGUUUGUUUGACAUAAGUUGUCUGACGAUUUUGCCCUUGAAAUGAAGAUUACGCCUCAUGACUUAAAAUCGCUUGGGUUGUGUUUCUGUUUCUGCGUUUGUUCUUCCUCUUCGCUUUCGGCAAGUGAAAUAAAUGAAUAAACAUUAGAUGGAGUUUUAUUCAAUAUUUAAAAUUUUGUUAAUUUGUAACGUGAUUGGAAUUUUAAUUAUUAUAAGAAAUAAGUUCUGGAUCGGAUUUUAAAAUACUUUAUUUGAAUACUCUAAAAAAUGCAGUAUGUUCACAAACUGUAAUUGCCGAUAUAAUUCCCCAGAACCCCAAUUCCAGAUUACUUAAAUCACGGCGGGGGCUGCGGUAUGUUCACAAGGUAAAAAAUGCAGUACGUUCACCAUUCCAAGUAUAACCCUUUUGACACAGUUCGCCUUCUAUUUCAAAGUUCAUACAUUUUCAAAAUUAUUAAACUAAAAUCAGCCAGAACCAAUUUUUUUUCCUUUUCAACUUCUAUUAAAAUUUCACUAUAAUUUAAAUAAAAUAAAUUAAAAAUCCAGCCCAAAAAACGAUUGCUGCAAUACUGAGUGGCAAAACUUAAUUGCUAUCGUUACCGCAAAAUUCAACACCCAACAACCAAAAUUUCAAUUUCAAAUCUAACCUUAAAUCCACCAACUGAAAACAAAUCCACACGAAAUGCGACAUCAAAUGAAAGGAACAAGAAGUCAAAAUCAAAACCGAUGAAACCUUUAUUAGAGAGAAGAAAGAAAGCUUCGUUGUAUAAAGAGAAUGCGCGCGAUCGAAGGCUGUGCUGUAUAGAAAUAAAACAGCGAUCGAAGAAAGCGUCUUCGCUAUCGUUGUAUAGAGAGAACAGAGCGAUCGAAGACUGUGUCUUCACGAUGGGAGGCUGUGUUGAACAGAACGAUCAAAGACAGCGUCUUCAAGAGAGAGCAUAGAGCGAUCGAAGACUGCGUAUUCACGAUCAGAGGCUGUGUUGAACAGAAGGAUUGAAUGCUGUGCUGUAUAGAGAGAUCGAGGAGUAGAGAGAAGAUACCGGCGAUGACGCAAGAGCAAAGGCUCUGAAUUUAUAGGGGAGGGAUUAGCGCAACUUGACGGCCGUUAUGACCGUAAACGCCUCUGUUAGAUUUAACGGAGAAGUCACGGGGUUACCCGAUGGUCAUCAGCAUCUGGGAAUCUCAUCAGUUUAAUUAGUUAAAAAGAAUUAACCUUUUGCUUCAGAUCAAACGAUUCACAGUUAACCUUGAACAUCAAACAUGCAGGCUAAACUAUCAACUCAUACACAUUGAUUUUUUUUUUUCCGGUGACAUUAACGUCAAUGGUUAAAUAUAUAAGUCUAAAUUCAUAAAAUAUUAAUAUAGUUUAGGGGUCUAUCAAACCAACAGCAUGGUUGAUGUGUUUACUGAAUAAACAUUUAACACCAAAACAAGCUAGACCUACCCCAAACUAUAUGGCGGAUUGGAAGUUUUUGAAUUACCAGUUUCACUGAAAAAAAAGAUGGUGAUAAGUUAGGAUUCUAACGCUCUUUUAUACUAAUGCUGCGUUUACUUUUUGGAUUGGAGUGGAAAUCCUGAGGAGUGGGAAUCCUUGGAUUAGGAGUGUGGAGUGGGAGUGGGAGUAGGGUGUUUACUUAGACUAAAUGAAAGUAUGGAUUGUCAAUCAGAAUCCUAAUUAUUUGUUUACUUUGUCUUGGAUUGGGAGUAAAUUGUUUUAAAUUACCAUUUUAUCCUUAUGUACAGAAUUAUAAUUUGUAAUUAAAAAAUUAAUAAAAAAUAUAUUUAGAAAAUAAAAUAAAUAUUUUAUUAUAUUUAUAAAUUAAUAAUAAUUACUAAUAUUCUUAAUUAUGUAAAUCAUAAUUUUUUUAUUAAUUUAAAUUUAAAUUAUGUGAAUAAAAAUUAUUAAUAAUAGCAACACAAAUGAAAUAUUAUUAUUGAUAAUAUAGUACAAAAUUAAUAUUUUUUUAGAAUAAAAUAUUUAUUAUUAUUAAUUAAAUAAAUAAUUAAUAUUUAUUAAAAUUAAUUUUUAAUAUUAUUAAUUUAAAUAUAAUAUUUAUUUAUUUUUAUUUUAUUAAAUUUAAUAAAAUAAAUAUGAUAUAAUUAUUAUUUUUAAUAAAUAUGAUAUUAUUUAUUUUAUUAAAUAUGAUAUUAUUUAUUUUAUUAAAUAUGAUAUUAUUUAUUUAUUUAUUUUUAUAAGGAUAAAAUGGGAAGAGGGGGGAGUGGGUUCCCACUCCCACCUCCCCCCAUGGGAGUGGGAAUCCCACUCCCCACUCCAAAAUUGGGUGGGACCCACGGAUUCCCACUCCCACUCCCCCCCUUUUUAAGGUAAGUAAAUACUGGAGUGGAAGGAAUCCACACUCCACACUCCCACUCCAGAAAGUAAACACUACCUAAAUCAUAAAACAUAAAUUUACCGAAUUAGGUAACCCGAAUUAUGAUGUCUUAAUAAAGUUGUAAUUGCAAAACAAGCCAAAACUUAAAUCCAAGUCUAAAGAAAAAACCAAAGAUCUGAAAAGAAUUUUAAAAAUUAGAAAUGAAAACUUCAAAUAAUGAAAUGAUACCCAGAGCAAAUGAAAUUGGAGAUGAUAACCAUAGCGUUAGUAACGCGUCGUUAAAUUGUCAUAACUCGAAACCACGUUAUUCGUUCAUGCACGAUACCUCUGGACUGAAGACCCAAAAUAAUAUAUUUUUUUUAAAAGUAAUGAAAACCGAAAUUACAAGUAUUCUACUAUUUUUUUUAAUUUAAAGGGACCAAUGAAAACCGAAUGAUCAAAACUGCGUUAUUUGUUCAUACACGAUACCUUCAGGAUUAUAACUCAUAUCACAUGAGACUAUUUACUAAUAUAUUUAUAAUCAGAUAAUUAUUAGAACAAUAGACCAUAUUUUUUAGGUUUUCAAAUAUUUAAAAAAUGUCUACUCCACUCUCAUUUCGAAAGAGAAAAAAUUACUUUUACAUAAUUAUUUUUAUAAUUGAGAAGAAAAUUUUAGCUUCCACAAAAUGGAUGGAGGGCAGCAGCUCAAGGCAAGUAUUCUCUAUUGUUAAAUUGUCAUUAAUUGGAAAGCGAGUUAUUCGUUUAUACGCGAUACUUUUGGACUCAAGACCCAAAAUGGAUAAUAAAAAAUUGAAAAAAAUUCAAAGAAAGAAGUAAAAAGUAAUAAAACCGAUAUUACGGGUAGUCUACUAUUCUUCUUGUCAUGAGUCGACUUUUUCCAAAAAAAAACCAACAGUAAAGUAAAAAAAAAGAAAAAAUAGUUAAUGGAUAUUUCUACGUAAAUGGUGUCAAAUAACAAGUUUAUUUAUUUAUUUUUUGGGGAUGAAAUAACAAGUUUAAUUAAAUAAUAUGCAUAUGUCUUAUACACAUUUUUGCUUCUUUACCCUCUGUGUUGAAUGAGAAUGAAAUUGACCCGGACAAGGACAGUAUGGCGUAACUCUUAUUUACUACUUGAAUUCCUCUCUCUUUAUUCUUUCCCAAUAACCCCAUUUAUAACACUAUUUCUUUGAUAUUUUUGUAAUAUUUUAUCACAAUAUAUAUUUAUUGCAGUGCACAAUUAAGAUUUAACAAUAGGGUUAUAAAUUUGAUAAGCAUAAUAUUGUUAACUGUUAAGCAUCCCACUUAUAUAUAUAUAUAUAUAUAUAUAUAUAUAUAUGAUAAUUACAACACCUUUAAGUAGCAUAGUUCUACUUACAAAUUUAAAUACAGUGUUAAGUUGAGCUGUGUUAAUUGAUAAAUCUUGAUUUUAAAAAAAAAAUUAGAGAAGAAAAGAGUAAAGAAGGAACUAAGAAGAAAUAACUUUAAUAUAUUAAAAAUUAUAUAAACUUAAAAGGGGGCUUUUAGGACAAUAAAUGAUAUAUACAUUUUUUAACAAAAGAAAUUUAAAUUUAUUUUUAAAGUCACCAGGAGCUUCAAUUCUUAGUGGGCACCAUAUGGCAUGUGGAAUCAUUCAAGGGUCUUAUAGUAAGUAAAUCGCUUUCCUUUUUAUAUGUGAAUAGAGAUAGUAUGAAUGAGCAUAUGAUUUUUUUUUUCAAAUAUUGAAAAAGAAAUAAAUAUAUUUUAUAAAAAAAAUAAAAUAAAUAUGUCAUUCCGAAAUUUACAUUAAAAACUGCAUACUUAAGAUUUUAAUUAAAUCAUGCUUAUUCAAAUUUCAAACAAAAAUAAAAAUAAACAUCACCAUUGACCUUUAAUUAAAAAGUGUAGGGGGUAAUAGUGAAGACGAACUUUUUUAUAAUAGCGAUUAAAACAUGACCCUAACUCUAAUUGUAGGGUCAAAUUUAUAAAAAGUAGUAACUUUUUUUAACGCAGGACGGACUGAUUUUAUUGUUGUAGGUAAUCUCGUGUCAUACGCAAAGUGAAAAAGAGUGUGAAACGACGAUAUUAUUCCAAGCACAUGCUUGGGCGCGGCGGGCCCUCGCAAACCCAUUUUAACACCGCGUUAGCCUUGUUUGGCUAAAUAAUAUGCAUAUGUCUUAUGAACGUCUUUACUUCUGACCCCAUGCGUUGAAUGAGAAUGAAACUGACACAAAAAAAGACAGUAUGGCUUAUCUUUUAUUUAUGACUUUGAAUUCCCCUUUCUUUAUUCUCUCUUAAUGACCCCAUUAACAACGCUAUUUCUUUGAUAUUUUUAUAAUCUAACUCGCUUGGUUCACUUAGUGAGGUGAGCUUCAAAAUAUUGGUCUUGUACCCUUCAGGAUUUAAAAUCUCUGUUAACUAUGUGACACGUCCAUCUUGUUUCCUCCUAAUUUGCUCCCCUAUGGCAUUAAGGUGAAUCUUCUUCAUUCACAGAGAUGUUAAGUAACUCAGCAUUAUCAGCAAGACCUAUUCAAAUUGUGUUUGUGUAUGUAUGUUGUAGCUUUCUCUCCUACGCCUAGCCUUUAUGCCUCUUAUGCCUCAGUUUGACAAGGCCAUUGGUAACAAUCAGCAAUAGCAAUACUGCCUUUCUUCAAUCAUAGCAGUGUUUAUCGGGUACAUAAGAUCAAUUAUCUUCUUAUUAAUUAAAAAAAUAAUAAAAUAAUAUAUAUUUAUAAAUGUAUAAAUUAAUUUUAUUUGAUAUUUAUAUUCUUACAAUAGUUUAACAGUAAGAUUUACCGAACAUAUACGAUUGCUUUUAAAACGCACAAUACUUUUAAAAAUAAAUUUUAGUAAACGUUUAACUGAUUCUCUUUACAAUGAUUAUUUCUAUAGCAUAGCUAACAUCAAUUAUUUUUUAAAAGUCCUAAUAGCAAUUCAUUACCAACUUUUUUUUUGCCACAACAGCUAUAGCUUAAAAGUCGUAUCAUCUUAAUACCAAAUAGGGCUAUAGUAAUUUAGUGCCCAUUUUUUUUCUUUUUUCUUUUUCUUUAGCAACUUAAAAAAAAUCUAAAACAAAAAAGGAAAAUUGAGUAUGAAAUCAAGCAUUAGUCAAGUAUAAAGUUGAGUAAGUCGAGUAUAAAAUUAGGUACUUUUUAUAUGAUUUUAAAUAAAGGGGAUUUUAGUUUUUUUCUUUGUGAUUUUGGAUAUAUUUCUAUAAUACCAGUAGAGUAAACUAUGUAAUAAGCAUAUAUUUUUCAUUUUGCUGUGAAUGGGACAUAUCCAACGCUAUUUGCUCCCGUGACCGAUCUUUAUAACAAAUCCAAUCGCCCUCGUUAUAGUCACUAGAUAGAAAGUUACCAUAGUACAGUUCUUAUAUGUAAUGUGAGUGAUGGCAGUGUUACGAACCUUUGUAUAAGUUUAUUUUGUAUAAAUUAAUUAGUAUAAACUUAUUGAUUGUAUGAAAAUAUAAAAUAAAAAAUAUAAAUAAUGUAGACUAAUGUGUAUUUAAUAUAACUAAUAAAAUUUUGCUACAUCAGUUUAUAUAAGAAUUUAUAGUUUUAUUAUUACUCAUAUUAAGUAAACAGUGCGUGAUUGGUCAGACGGCGGCAUAAGUGGCAAUGACCAAAUUGUUGAGUCGCUGACGUGGGUUCUCAAAAUGAGUCGAUAGUCAAGAAAUAAGCUAUCAAGUUAUGACAAUAUAUUGUAAACAUGUCUUUAAGAUGAUACAUUAUCAUCAUCAAUAUCAUAUCCUAAUUGAAAAAGGUUUGCAAGGGUCCGCCGUGUCCGAGCAUGUGCUUUCAUUUUCACUUGAAAUAAAGCGCGAUGGAAAGAUCUUAUUUUAUCACAUGCCGUCCAUGUUGGGGAAAAAUCAGAUUUUUAAAUUUUUAUAAAACCUUUCGAAGAUUGCUCUCAUAUAAUAUAUAAGAAUACGUAAUCUAGAAAUCAUACCUUGAAAAUCUGAUUGGACUUUUUCUGUUGAAGUGAUUUAGGCUCCUAGAUCACGAUCCGCCACCACCACUCCUGUUAGAUCACGAUCUGUCACCACCACGCUUGUUAGAUCACGAACUGUCACCAAUGAUCUUCCAGGUUAUGACUCAGGUUCGAUUUGCACUUGACGUGUGAACGCCUUUAUCACUACCAAAACAACUAGCACGAGAAAAUUUUUCUCUCAACAACAGAGAGAAAAUUUUUUUUCUCUGAUCUGUAUAAAGUGGCUUCUCCUUUUUCUUUUUAGAAAAUAAGCCUUAUAUAUCUCCCUUUAGUGAAAAUCCUAGGCUCCAAAUAAUACCCCAAAAUAAAACUCACCGUUACUUUUUAUUUUAUAAGGGACCCACCAUGUAAAAUAACAUAAGGCCCCUUACACAUAAGCUAAUUAAAUGGAGCCUCCCACUAAAUGAUAUAUUUAGGCUUUUGACCCAAAUAGAUAGUUAUCUUACUUAUUAGUCCAGUAGUGGUGCAGUCAAUUAAAUGAGCUAACCCGGGGAUCAUUUGGGAACAUACAAUAGUGGCUACAAUAAUUAGGCCUAUAAUUAAACUAGCCCAAUUAUUUAAUUCCAAAUCUACUCCACUAAAAGAUUGGAACUGACUUCCAUAAUUGUAUGCUCGAAUAAUAAUUCGUCCCAAGCCACAUUGAUUUCUUUACUGCACAAUCCUUUGUACCACAUCGUUAAUUAAAUUGAUAUCUCAACUGUCCAAUCAAUUUAAUAACAUCUUAUUCCUUGAUCCUUACUGGUUUUCUCUAAUGAUCAUUUUCAACAUACUAAAUAUGUUGACACACUCUGGCCAGAGAAUUCUAUGAUCAAGUGCCGAAAACCCAUCAAGAGAUGUGUUGUACAAAUUCUAUAUUGUUAAUCUAUAACUCCAAUACUCAUAAAUGCUCCCACCAAGAUACCGGGUAAUCUAGACUACAUGUAUGUGUCAUGCCCAUUGGUAACUCAAAUGAAAUAACAAUUACAAUCAUGAAAUCAUAAUUAACUCAAGAUUAAGAUUACAGUAAAAUCAAUGCCUAUGAGAUUUAAUAAGUCUGACAGUUAUUACAAAGUUAAUUAAAUCUCAUAUGUGAUCCUGUUCAAUGUAGUCGUACUACAUCAAUAAAUCCAUACAUGAUUAAGACAAAUCAUUCAAUGAAUUUAUUACAGUCUAUACCUAAAUAAAGUGCCCCACUUUAUUUAUCAACUGCGAACUAAAUUUAUUUAAUCAUAAGAUAACUUGUAUUUAUGUCUUCUGUGAAUCCACAUGGUGAUCACAUAAAUAUAAUAUGAUUAAAUGGACUUUAAUAAAAAUAUUAAUGCAAUUAAGAUAUUUGCAUAAAAUACCUCAUUAUUUUUAUUAAUCAGAAAAAAUAUUUAUUACAAUUAAAUAAACACAUAUGUUUUUAAAGAGCAUAUUUUCCCAACAGUCCAUUCGACGCAUAUUUCCACCCCCAUUACCCUUACAUAAGAAAAGAUUUCUGGUGCUUGGAACAUUACUCCAUAUCUUUUCAAGUCUAUUCAAGUCUGUUAAUAAUUAAGCUAAACCUAUGAGUCUCCAAUAUUGGGCGAAUUAAAUUUUGAAAGCAGGCCAACCUAUUGUCAGAUCUGCCUUUCAAAUUAUUGACUUAAUUUUGCCAAAGGUGAAACAUUUGAAGAAGAAUCCUUCUAAACAGGUAGUGUUGGUCGUUGUUGUCCUCCUGAGAAAGUGUCAUUAGCUUGAAACCUAUUGCAAAUGUUGAUCCAAAAUGGCUUCAAGGUUUCGUUGUAGAGCUGACGACAAGCUUUUGUAAAGGACUUCCAAUUUUGAUGCACAACAAUGAUAAUAGGAGCGCAAAUCCAUGUAGUGUACAAAAUGAUAUGACGAAUGUCCGAGCGUGGAACAAAUGUGGAGACCAAAAAGAUUGCAGAAAUAGAUCCGGAGACAACUGCUACAAGGGCCCAAGAUUGGGAAGAAUUUUCUGAAUGAAGUCGAGACUUGAGGUCAGCUGAAUGUGCAUAACAAUAUAUGGCUGUGGCUAUUAAGAAAGACCAUAUGUUUAUUGAGUGUGUUUCAAGCAAGGACUUUGUUUGGCCUUGAACAUUCGCACCCACAAUGCCUAUGAGAGCCGCAGUAAGAUACCCAAAAAUGUGGGGAUAGGACAUUGAGGAGAAGUGAUUUCGCCCGCUGCAACAUUGUCAAAACGAUUCAUCAAUCUUCUGUAUAUUCCAUUUCCUUUGAAAAAAAAUAAAAUUAAAAAGACCAUGUAUUAAUUUCCUCUCAAUUUGUGUGUCAAUGAUUUGCUUUUGACCAAACCAAUUCUCCUUUAAAAAUUUGAGGGGGCAUCUUUUCAUUUGCACGAAAAUUUCACCCAAAUGUUUCAUCAAAAUUUUGGUGUAUACACAUUGUUUUAACAGCUUUCAUGACUCACCCCCUUUUCUGUUAAAUAUUGUUUCAUCAAAAUUUUAUUAUAUACAUACUUUUUUGAAUAGUUAAAUAUUGUUUUUGCCGUUAUUUUUGACAUCUUUGACAUUAAAAGACAAUUUUGCCCUUAUUUAAAAUUUUUAAGUGUAAAAUUACUAGAAAACCACAACACUAGUCUCAAAUUUCAGUUGACCUAUGUGGAUAUUAAAAUUUGUUAAAGGUUAAAAAAAAAAGUAAAAAUGUUUGGUUAUGGGAAUCGAAAUAUCCCCUACACCAUCAUCCAUAAUCAUCUAUUCACGAUAGCAAUUUAAUAAACUUGAAAAAGCAAGAAAUCCAAUCCCAGUCAAUCAAACAGCCAAUUUUCUUCAUAGAGUUCAGCUUUCGCCUAUAAAAACUCUAACCCUUGAGACCCUAAAUAAACCCAUAUUCAAAGUUACAUGUUUCUAUAACGAAAACCUUCAAUUUACCCCUUUAAAAUUUUGAAAGCAUUAAUUUACUUCUAUUUAUCAGUCAAAAGAUUAGAAUACAUGGAGACACGCUAAUAACAAACUUUUUUACUCCUUAAUGAAAUUUGAUAAAUAUAAAUAAAUUAAAGAUUAUAAUUUUAAGUGGGGGUAAAUUAAAGAUCGUACUCUUUUUUUUAUUGUGUCUUAAUAAGAGAAAGAAAGAAAACAGAAAACAAAUCACUUCUAUAGGAGGCGUAACAAAAUUUUCAGCUAGGACUUCACCAAUUUUUUCACGGAAAUUAAAUUAGGAGGAAAAAAAAAACACUUUGAAGAGGACUGCAUAUAUAUAUAUAUAUAUAUAUAUAUAUAUAAUAAAUACAACUUGAGUCAAUAAUGGUAAAGAAAAUGACCAUACACUGAAGGGUUUGGAUUUGGAUGAUGCAGAAUGCAGUGGCAGCUUUGCAUUUGCAUAUAUGUAUCUCAGCAAACCCUGGAUUGAGUUUUCUUUUUCUCGGCAAAUAAGGUAGGGAACAGCAAAUGUGAUCGAUUUGAAAAAAAAAACAAAAACAAAAGCUUAGCUUGAAACUUGGAAGGAAAAAGGGGGGAAAAAUCUCACUUUAAGAACAUCUAAAUUAUCUCUGCUGAACUAAAUUAUCUCGUGGCUUGAGCUUUCAUAGCUUAUAAUUUAUAGAUGUCAAAUGUGUGGACUAAGGGAGGCCCAUGCGCCAUGCGGGGGUUUCCUAGAAGGCUAGAAAGUAAAGAGUGUUCCGAAGAAAUAUCUCUGCUUAACAUGUUAAGUAAUUAAAUCAGAGCCUCUCACAAGGUUGUGCGCCCAAAUAGAAUCCACAACAGGCUGUGGCUUACGUGAAUAGAGUGAUGCAAUUGUAAACCAGAUAGUGGCAUUUUUUUAAAGGUUCGGUCAAAGGCGGUUAAAUAUAAUAAUAAAAUAUUAUAAGAUACAUAUUUUCUUUGUAAUAAAUUGAAUAAACGUAUGACCUUAAAACUAAUUAUUAAUGCUUUAUUGGAAAAUUAUAUAGUUUAUAUGUAGAUAAUAUAUAUUAUACUUAAUUGUUGGGGUUUGAAAAGGAUUCGGGGGCAUAAAGAGGGGCGAAGUCAGAAAACAAAAUUUUGGGUGGGCUAAAAUUUUUUCCCAGUCCAUAUGUGAUCUCAAUUAAAAAUAUAAAUUUUAAAAGAAAGUUUCAUUAACACAUAAGAAAAUACAUCAUAUCCAAGAAGCAAUCAAAUUACAAGUAAACACUAUUUAAGUUGUGCCUUACCAUUCUUUAAAAAAUUAAAGUUAUGUUUUAUUAUGCUUUCGAGAAUUAAACUCAUCCAUUAUCGGUUUUGAAUUUAUGGUGUCUACAAAUUCUUUUUCAAUGUAGAUAAUAAAGGCAAUGCAACUGUCAAUCCAUCAUUAUGACACAUUGAUAAUAUUCAGAAGUCAGACAAUAAGUUUAAUUAACAAAUUAACAUUAUACAUAAUAUACUGGAUCAAAUCUAUGAUCUAUCUCUAUCAAAAAUCAAUUUAAAAAAUUGAAUGCUAGAAUUCAAUGGCUAAAUUAUCUUCAUUUGAUCUUUACAAUGAAAUUGGAACAAGAAUUAAAGAGCAUGAUUUUUAGUCUUUAUUACCCUAUAAUCAAUAAAUAUUUUGUAAAUGAUUGAAUAAAAAAUAAAUCUAUUAUUUGUUCUUACCAAGAAGAAGGCGAAGAACUGAAGAAGCAAAGAAAAAAAAAUCAUGUUUGAAAUCUCGAAUGAAGUAAAUGCUGCUCACUUUUUAAAUUUAUUUAUAUGAAUGACAAAGUUGUAGAUUAACAUAGUGGUGCAAUUGUAAAUAAGAUAGUGGCGUCUUUGUAAACUUUGCAUAAUGGCAAUUUUGUAAAAUUCAGACAGGCGGUAGCCCGUCUCAAUCCACGCGGAGCCUUGCCACCGAGUGUAAACAUAGAGAAUAAUUUAUAAAUCCAAUAAGCUUAGUUAAAGUAAAAUACUUGACUUUAAGAAAUUUCUAAUAAUCUUCUUCAUCUUAACCAAAUUUUUGAAGUGAAAAAGAUUCAUGGCACCUUGUGUUGUACUUUAGCAAGAGAAAGGAGAAAAAAGAAAACAAAUCGCUUUCAUAAUCAUAGGGGCUUCACCAGUUUUUUCACAACGCAAAAUUGACGGCCGUUAUGACCGUAAAUGCCUAUGUUAGAUUUGACGGAGAAGUCACGGGAUUACGCGAUGAUCAUCAGCGUCUCCAAAUUUUAAUGCCUCUGUUCAAAAAGAAUUGAGAAAUGCUAAAGGUCGGGAACGCUGAGAGAACACUGAGAGAAACGGCAGGUUGUGCUGUCGUUUCGUGUUCUCUCAGCUCCACCCCCCCCCCCCCCCCCAACAUGACUAAGAAAGCGAACCCUCACAUGAAAAAAUACUUCAGCUCAAGUCACUUUUACCAAAAGCUGCCGUUUGGCCCCACACUCAAGUCACUUUUGCCAAGUGAAUUCUGCCCCCCACGUGAAAGUUUGAGUUCUCUCCUUGCUCAUGACCAAGCAAAGCUAAGUUUGAAUUCUCUCCUUACUCCUUCACUCGUUCACUUCUUCUUCGUUUCUCGUUCACGCUCAUCACAAACCAAGAUAACUUGCUCCCAUUAAUUUCAAAUAUUAAACUGCUUUGUUGAGUUCUACAACCUGAAAGUACAAUUCUUUCAACAUUCUAACAGCAUCCUAGUUCACAGUUAGAUAUCAGAAACAAAUGUUAACAUAUUUAAUGCCAAUCUUUAUUCCAUGAGAACUUUUUUUUUUUUAAUACUGAUUAAUCAUCAUAUUACUGCAUUACACAGAUAUUUACAACUGCUAUUAUAGCAGAUAUAUUACACUGAUAUUUACAAUCAGAAAUAUAUGAUUGGGACUUAUAUUAUUACAUUGAAUUCUGUGAAGUACAUGCCCAGACAAAUAAUCCCUUACAGAAGAGGGAUGUCCAUACUCCACUCGUAUUGCACGAGGGAGAGGAAAUUUUUGAAAUAUUAAACAAAUAAGCACGUUAGCCCCACAAAUGCUUUUAUGGGGGCUUGAACCGCUGUCCUCACAAGCAUUGUGAGGGCAGCAGCCCAGCACUCCGACCAAGGCCGAAGUGUAUUCCAUGAGAACUUAAAAUAUCCAAAAAGAGAUGCAUCUACCCUACAUAUCUAUUUACACAACAAGUGUCCCUUCAAUUCCAACAGAAUAUACAUGCCUCCAUCUUAAGAUUUCAUAUGGCAUGGAAAUUAAAAAUUUCGUCAACUGAUAGAAGCCACCACACAAUGGCAAAAUAUAUAUGUUUAUUAUCAAAGAACAGAAGGCAUCAUUUGAGCAAAUUAAAGAGACAACUAUUCUCAGCCAUUCUUCUCAAUAUGGGAUAGACUUCUUGUAUCGUCAUAUCCACUCUCAGCACCAUAGGCUGGUUGUUCCUUAUGCAAUCGGCGCCCUUUACAAUCACCCACUUGAGGGACUUUUGCUCGACACUUUGGGUGGAGCCCUCUCUUUUCUUGUCUCGGGAAUGACUGCACGAACAGCCGUGAUAUUUUUCUACUUUGCUGUGAUUAAAACUGUUGAUGAUCACUCUGGGCUUUGGUUGCCUGGCAAUAUCUUCCACUUGUUCUUCCAGAACAACACCGCUUAUCACGAUGUCCACCAUCAACUUCAGGGCUUGAAGUACAACUAUUCUCAGCCAUUCUUCUCAAUAUGGGAUAGACUUCUUGGAACUCACAUGCCUUACCAUCUAGUCAAGCUACCUGAAGGAGGUUUUGAGGCUCGGCUAAAGAAAGACUAGAUGCUAUUAAGACAAUUUGACUGUAUCAUAAAUUAAUUAUUAAAAUAAUUAUCAACAAUACAAUUACCAAAAUAAUUGUGGGAGUUGGAGUUCAUGUGGGAGUGCUGGAGAAGGAAUUGAAAAUAGAAAGGAAAAGGAGUUGAGAGGGAGUGAAGGAGUGCUGGAACAGAUCUGUUGAAAGCGAAGAAGGAAGAAGGAGUGCUGGAACGGAUCUGUUGAAAGCAAAGAAGGAAGAAGGAGUGCUGGAACGGAUCUGUUGAAAGCAAAGAAGGAAGUGGAAGAAGGAAAAUGAUUUGAAAGUCACAUGGGGGACAGAUAUCUGUUACUCACGUGGGGGGAGGGGGGGGAGGUGAGAGAACGAAACGGCAGCACAAGCUGCCGUUUCUCUCAGCGUUCUCUCAGGGUUCCCGAUGUUUAGCAGCACUCGAAAGAAUUAACCUCCGCUUCAGAUCGAACGACUCACGAAGUAACUUCGAAAAUGUAUAUAAGACACAUGCAUGUUGUUUAAUUGUUAAAUUGUUCCCUUUGUAGGUGCUUGUGGACUCCAAAUUAAUUGUACGCCUUUUAAAUAGAAAUAAGUGCAUUAAAUAUUUUUUCCUUUUUACUUUAUUUUCGGAAUUUUUGGGAAAAAGCGAUGACUCAUGAGAAGAAGAAGAAGAAGAAGGAUAGUAGAAUACAUAUAAUAUCGGGUUUUUUUUUUUCACUUUUUACUUCUUUCUUUGAUUUUUUUUUUUUAAUUUUUUAUUAUCCCUUUUGUGUCAUUGGAGUCCAAAAAUAUUGUGUAUAAAAAAAUAACCCGCCUUCUGAGUUUAUGACAAUUUACCAUGCGUUAAUAACGCUUGAUGAAAAUGUUGCAAUCAGGUAGUGUAGAAUCAAUAAUUAAUGAAAUAUAAAAUAAGAAGAGUAAAUCUUAAUAACGCACCAAUAUUACAAAUCAAUAGCUAAGGAUCAAGCGAAAUUUCACCAGCAAAUUAGGACAGCAGAGGCAGCAUCCAUAAGCGUAAGAGUAAUUAUGUCACUCUGAAAUUUCAUAAGAGUAAAUUAGGACAGCAGGGAAAGGAAUAAACAAAGCAAUUUGCAAAGGACAGAGGCAUAAACAUAAUAGUAAUUAUAAAAUGUCAGACUGUAAGAAACAAGUAAAAAAUGUAUAAUAUUUUUCACAGUAGUCCGACGAUUCGUCAAUGUCUUUGUAAAAAGCGAAUAUUUUCAAAGGUAAAUAACACUCACACAAAUGUUUAAUCAAUAAUACAGUUGUUUUUUUGAAGUGAUAACUACUGAUUAUAUAUUGAUUCUUCAAAAUAAUUACACAUUUAUCAUAAUAUUAUUUAUUUAUUUUAUAAUUAAUAUAAUACUUUAAAGAUAUUUAAAAAAUUUUCAACUUGACAAUGUUCAAUAAAGGGUAAAGUUUAAAUUAUGUUACAAAAAGUCUUUGAACAAUAUAGAGCAAAGCUUUUACUUGUAUAACAAAAGAAAGCAUAUGAGGGGAUAAAAAGACUGAAGGUAUGAGUUUGAUUAUUAUCACAAUAAUUAUUUCUAUUUCAAAGAUUGAAAUCUGAACAUUAUUAUAUUUUGUGGAAUUUUCUCCAUUACUUUUUCAAAGUACUACAUGUACAUGGAUGAUUGUUUGUUACUGCGAACGGCAAAACAUUUAAUUUGGAGAAAAUUCCUUCUAGACUGGUAGUGUUGGUCGUAGGUUCCCUGUCGAGGAAGUGUUAUUAGCUCGAAACCUAUUGCAAAUGUCAAUCCAAAAUGGCUUCAAGGUUUCGUUGGAGAGCUGACGACAAGCUUCUGAAAACAACGUGCCAUAUUGAAACACAACAACAAUAAUGACAGUGCCAACCCACGCAGUGUACAAAAUGAUAUGGCCAAUAUUAGAACGUGGAAUAAAGGUGGAGAUCAAAGAUAUUGCAGAAGUAGAUCCUGAGACAACAGCAAUAAGGGCCCAGAAUUGGGAAGGAUUUUCGCGAUGAAGUCGAGACUUGAGGUCUUCUGAAUGUGCAUAACAAUAUAUGGCUGUGGCAAUGAGAAAAGACCAUAUAUUUAUUGAGUGUGUUUCAAGUAAGGGCUUAGUUUUACCUUGCACAUUUGCACCCACAAUACCUAUGAGAGUCGGAAUUAGAUAUCUAAAAAUGUUGGGAUAUGACAUUGAGAAGAAGAGAUUCCGCCCACUGUAAAAUUGUUAAAAUGAUUAAUCAUCUUAUGUAUAUUCCAUUUCCUUCAAAAAAAAAUUAAAAUUAAAAAACACUGUGUUAAUUUCCUCUGAAAUUGUCUAUCAAUUAUUUGCUUUGACCAACGCAAUUCUCCUCAAAAAAUUUGAGGGAGCACUUUCAUUUGCACCCAAAUGUUUCAUUAAAAUUUUAUUGUAUACACACUUGUUUCAACAGUUACUAUGGCUCAGGCUGCUCACCCUGUUAUGUUAAGUAUUGUUUUUACUGUUAAUUUUGACAUCUUUGAGAUUAAAAGACAAUUUUGACCCUCCUUAAAAUUUGUAAGUGUAAAAUUAUCAGAAAACCACAACACUAAUUUCAAAUUUCAAUUGACCUGUGUGGAUAUUAAAAUUUCUUAAAGGUUAAAAAAAACAGUUAAAAUAUCUCCUAUACUAUCAUCCACGAUCGUCUAUUCAUGAUAACAAUUUAAUAAACUCGAAAAAGCAAGAAAUCCAAUCCCAGUCAAUCAAACAGCCAAUUUUCUUCAUAAAGUUUAGCUUUUGCUAUUAAAAAUUCUAACUCUUGAGACCCUAAAUAAACCCAUAUUCAAAGUUAUGUGUUUCUAUUACGAAAAUAUUCAAUUUACCCCUUUAAAAUUUUGAAAACAUUAAUUUACUUCUAUUUAUCAGUCAAAAGAUAAAAAUAAAUGAAGACACCUUGACCAUAAACUUUUUAACUUUUUAGUGGCAUUUGAUAAAUAUAAAUAAGUUGAAAAUUAUCAUUUUAAGUGGGGAUAAGUUAAAAAUUUUACUCUAUAUUUAUUGUGCUUUGAUAAGAGAAAGAAAGAAAACAGAAAACAAAUCUCUUCCAUAGCAGUCUUAACAAAAUUUUCAGCAGGGACUUAACCAAUUUUUUCACGGAAAUUAAAUUCCAAUUUUUUUCACGGAAAUUAAAUUAGGAGAACAAAAACACUUUGAAGUGGACUGCAUAUAAAAACUCAAAAAUAACAUACAACUUGAGUCAAUAAUGGUAAAGAAAAUGAACGUACACAGAAGGGUUUGGAUUUGGAUGAUGAUCGAGAAUGCACUAAAAGCUUUGCAUUUGCAUAUACAUAUCUAUAUAUAUAUAUAUAUAUAUCUCUCAUAUACAUACACACACACACACAUAUAUAUAUAUAUCUCAGCAAACCCUGGAUUGAGUUCUCUUUUUCAGGGUAAAUAAGGUAGGGAACAGCAAAGCCGAUCAAUUUGAAAAGAAAAAAAAAAAAAACUAAAACUAAAAUGUAAACUCAGAUGGAAACUUGGCAGAGAAAACGUGAAAAAGAAAAAAAAAAUCUGUCACUUUAAGAACAUCUCAAUUAUCACUUUAAGAACACCUCAAUUUAUAUGUUCAAGUGCGGUGAUGCUGGUAGAGGGUUUAGUAGAAAGUUAACGGUUUCGUAGAACAGAGUCCUUUGUUGCAACUUGCAAGAGAGGACUCUGUUAACUUUGCGAAAAUCUGACUCGGCAAAAUCCACUCAUACAUCUUGUAAUGUUGAUGUAGUUUCUUUAUUUUUGUUUUUUUUUUUUUUUUUUGAGCUCCCAGACAAAAAACUUGUGUUGAAAAUUAAAAAUGAUCGAUUAAUGGGCUCCCCUCUCAAUUUCAAGGCCGAAAGGGCCGCUGUGCCCCAUGUGAAAAUUUCUUACAAUUAGAAUCAAAUCCACGUCAUACAUAUGAUGACAUGAUGUAUAUUUAGUAUGGUUUAUUCAAUGAUUAUAAGUAUUUAUUUAAUUUUUUAAAUUCUUGAUCAAACAAACGCCAAGAGAGACAUCUGUAAUUACGUUUAACGAGCAUUUUCGAGGAAUUGUUUCUAAAAAUAACUAAAACGGGAAAAGCCAAAUGGGAAAAUUUGGGUUGGAUGGAACUUGGAAAAGGACAAACAUGAAAGUUCAAAGUUUGCUUGGUUGGGCUAUUUUCUGCAAGUGGGAGAGACAGAGUGAUACAGCAUUACCAAUCUCUUUGGAGUGGCCCAAUCCAUAUCUUGGGGAAUCAUUUGAAGAACGGGCUGAACCACACCAGGAGGAAGAUACAACUAGGCCCAACACAGAACCAGUUGCAGGCCCCUCACGAAUGAGAAAACCACCCAGCUGGCUGAAGGAUUAUGUUGUUUGAGAGCAAGGAAGUUGUGGAUUCCUUUCUAGAAUCUUUUAUUCGUUUGAUAUUUUCUUUUGGCUUGACCAUUGCUAUUUUUUGUAACCACCUUCUGUUAGAGGUUGCUAGAGGAAAAAGCAUAUAAGUAUUGUAAUGUUUAAAAAGGCAAUGGAAUAUUUGGUUCUCUUUCUUCUAUGGAAUUUCCUUUCUUCUUAAUCAUUGUUCUGUUCUUAAUUCUUUUUCUUGGAGCUGGCACUCGCUCGAAGAGUGUUUUGUUGAGUGGAUUUGCUUGUGUUGCAGGACAAGCGUAUCAUUGGUGCUUUCAUCGACUUUUCCAUGGCUGAUUCAGAGGUGUUGGCAGCAGUGAAGGCACUCCAAACACAAUUUGAAGGCCAAACAAUUGCGAUUCAUCAAACCUUGCAGCAGUACAUGUCUACAGUGGAUUCUCGUCUUGAGGAUCUACAUUCUCAGAUCCAAGGGUCUUCAAGUGUUUUGGCUGCAUCAUCCGGUUCCGCACAUCGCUCUUCUCUAGUUGCGGAGGGGCAUUCCAGACACAUCGAUCUCUCGCCGGUAUUACGAUCAAUGAAAAUGGAGGUUCCCAAGUUUGAUGGCUCUGACCCGAAUGGGUGGGUGUUUCGUAUUGAAGAGUUUUUCGAUUUCCAUGAAACUCCAGAGCACUUGCGCUUUCGCAUCGUCGCGUUUCACAUGGAGGGGAGAGCGGCAGCCUGGUACCAAUGGAUGAAGGCGAACAAACUGAUAACAACAUGGAAAGCUUUUUUAAUUAGUCUGAAGCAUCGGUUUGGCGCUUCAAUGUAUGACGAUCCUCAAGGUACACUUUCCAAACUCACACAAACCACCACAGUCGCAGAGUUUCAGUCCGCCUUUGAAGAUUUGAUGAAUAAGGUCACUGGGAUUUCUGAACCUUUGUGGAUCAGUUUCUUUAUCACUGGUUUGAGAACGGAUAUUCGCAGGGAGUUGAUGUUUUCCCGCCCCACAUCUCUGAUGGAAACAUUUGCUCUCGCAAAAGCUUAUGAAGCUCGUUCAGAGAAGGCCAAAAUGAGUAGUCGCCCUUGGACUAAAUGGCCCCCACCGUCAGCCCCAACUAUGACUAUUCCAUCCGUCAACAAAAUUCCUCCACCCUCACAUGUGCCUGUUCCCCACCACACCACAAACAGUUUCCAUGCAGGUCCCACAACACACCAACAUCCUAAACAAACAAACCUUCCAGCCCUCUUACCUACACCAAAUUUACCAGUUCGCCGCCUCACUCCAGCUGAAUUACGAGACAAACGAGAAAAAGGAUUGUGUUAUAACUGUGACCAAAAGUACACCGCUAUUAUGUUAGCUCCCACUCCUCCUUGAAGUCAAUCUUGCUCCACGAAUUUCAUGCUACCCAUGGGCUGGACAUACGGGCAUAAAACGGACCUUGGUUCGCUUGGCUUCGACAUUUUAUUGGUAUAAAAUGAGAACUGAUGUUGAAAACUUUAUAACUGCUUGCCUAACCUGCCAACAAGUCAAGCAUUCAACUCAAGCCCCAGCAGGGUUGUUACAGCCGCUACCUAUUCCAUCAUUAGUAUGGGAUGAGGUCACUAUGGAUUUCAUUACGGGCUUGCCACCAUCACGAGGGCUCACUAUUAUCCUUGUCGUUGUGGACCGUUUGACUAAAUCAGCACAUUUUGGAGCUCUACCUUCUCAAUUUUCAGCUGUGACAGCAGCGGACUUAUUUGCUAACAUGGUCGUUAAACUCCAUGGUUUUCCUAGUUCCAUUGUGUCAGAUCGCGAUCCAAUUUUUAUGAGCAAGUUUUGGAAGAAGCUUUUUGAACUAAGUGGCACUUCCCUACGGCAUAGCACAGCCUAUCAUCCGCAGACAGAUGGGCAAUCCGAAGUUGUGAACCGCGGGCUUGAACAAUAUUUACGAGCUUUCACUCAAGAAAAACCACAAUCGUGGGUCUCUUUACUUUGCUGGGCAGAGUUCAGUUACAACUCCAGCUAUCACAGUGGUCUCAAGAUGACACCAUUUCAAGCAUUGUAUGGGCGUAUUCCACCUACUAUCCCAGCUUACUCUAAGGGCUCUACUUCAAUCCAAGCUCUCGAUGAUGCGCUGAUAGAGCGCGAUGCUAUCUUGCGCUCCUUGAAGGAAAAUUUGCGCCAAGCUCAGCAUCGAAUGACACAAAAGGCUAAUGCCCAUCGGCGUGAACUCCAGCUCAAUAUAGGAGAUCGCGUGCUUUUCCGCCUUCAACCAUACCGACAGACAUCUUUAGCUCAACGAGCAUCCCAUAAGUUAGCAAAGAGGUAUUACGGGCCAUUUACAAUAUUAGAACGUGUGGGACCAGUGGCAUACAAGCUGAACCUACCGUUAGAUUGCAAAAUUCAUCUUGUCUUCCAUAUUUCAAUGCUCAAACCCUUUAGCGGUUCCAGCCCCAUCACUGGGUUACCCUUACCUCAUGACAGCAUCAACAAUCGACCAUUCUCAUACCCGGCUGGCUGAAGGAUUAUGUUGUUUGAGAGCAAGGAAGUUGUGGAUUCCUUUCUAGAAUCUUUUAUUCGUUUGAUAUUUUCUUUUGGCUUGACCAUUGCUAUUUUUUGUAACCACCUUCUGUUAGAGGUUGCUAGAGGAAAAAGCAUAUAAGUAUUGUAAUGUUUAAAAAGGCAAUGGAAUAUUUGGUUCUCUUUCUUCUCUGGAAUUUCCUUUCUUCUUAAUCUUUGUUCUGUUCUUAAUUCUUUUUCUUGGAGCUGGCACUCGCUCGAAGAGUGUUUUGUUGAGUGGAUUUGCUUGUGUUGCAGGACAAGCGUAUCACAGAGUCUGGAAAGGGUUUCUUUUCUUUUUCUUUUUCUUUUUUUCAAAUACACAUAUAGCCACGUGUUGUCCCAUAUAAAAAAAUAAUACUUUAUAUAAGUCCGAGGUCAAUUGGGCUGGAAAACAUUUAAAAUCGAACAUAUCAGGCAUGUUGUAAGUUCGCAUUUGGAGAAUCAUGUUGUCAGCCCCACAACCCCCAAAUGGGAACUUUAGAUAGAAAUAUAUAGCAUCCCAACAAUAAUAUUUAUUAAUAAUAAAUUUACUUAUUACAAUUGUUUUUGUCAAAGACUCCUUGAUGGUAUUUCAUGUGUUGAAAAAAAUGUAAAAUAAUUUUAUUAUCGAUACAAUUAAAAACAUAUUUUUCAAUAUAUAUAAUUAAAUUAUCACUUGAUUUGUUCUUAAAAUGUUUUAAUAAUAGCAAAAAUAUGGAUAUAAUGAAACAUGAAGAAAAAAUAUGAUUACAGACACAUUAGGGAACGGCAAUGAGGAGGGUAGGGGAGGGGACUGACAUCUCCAUAUCCAUCCUCGAUAUUCUACAUAUGUUCUCAUCCCCUUCCCAUCCCCGUCAGAAUUACUUGAGAAAAUAUUCAUCCCCUCCCUAAAUAAUAACAGGGGAUCUCUAAGAGUCUCCGAUCCCCACGUAAUUGAUACAUUUUUUAUUUUAAUUUUAAUUAAUUAUAUUAAAAUAAUUUUUUUAAUAAAAGUACAGUUAAGGCGGCAGCUAGCUGCCAUAGAAAAUUAGAAAUUAGGUUUUAUGAUUUUGCCUUAACUUUUGUUUUAUUGGAUAAACGUUUAAAAUAUUUAAUGAAUAUUAUAAAUUAAAAAAAAAAAUUGGGCCAACAAGAUCCUGUCUGGCUUUUUUUAUGUCCUAAAUAGAUAUUUAAGAUUAUAAAUAGUUAAGUAGGCUCAUUAAAGCAUCUGACAAAUUGUUACAUAAAACCAGGAUAAUUAGAGUGCUAAUCAAAUAACCCAAAUUAUAGAUUCCCUAAUCAAACAAACAUAACAAAAAAAUUUUGAAAUACAAUUUUUUUUUCAGAAAUGCGAAUUGGCACCAAAUAAAAUUGAGCAAAAGCUAAUGCUGUCCUACAAGUUGACAUGGUCCUCCUUUAGCAAGGUUCAAAUAGGGAAGACCAUAGUAAAAAUAAGAGGAAAUAAUUUAACUUUAUCUAUAAAUCCUACAAUUUAGAUGCUAGUAAAAUAACUCCAAUCUGAAGCAUCAAAUGUACAAGAUUCAUAAGCAAAAACAGGUUACACGAUUAGUUAUUACCUGGAUUACGUUGUACAUAUUACAUGGUAUACCUAAUCAGACAAAUAACAGGUUACAAUCCAAGUUUUGUUGAUCAUGAAAGGUUUGAGCGUGAUAGUCCAUUUAGGUCAUUAGGUCAGCCAAAUGGGAGACCAGUGGAUUUGGAGGGUUUGUAUACAGUGCAAACUGAGCUAAUAAUGCAUGUUCAUGGUUUUAUACGUGCCAGGUAUUUUUAUCCUGUAAUUGUGAAAUUGAUGACAGAAAAUUUUAUAUCGUAAUUUCUUGGAAUUCUGACUGCAUGCUUUUCUUCUAAUUGUUAUGUUUCUGUUAAUGAUGGGAUGACCAUCUUUCAGUGCAAUAAAGGUUGGAAUCAUAUGGUAUACCUAAAAUAAAUUGUCACGCUAGAUUGAUAUACUCAUUCUCUAAUCAACUGAGAGUAUCUUCUAGUUCAGCUAUUUCUUUUCUGGGUAUAAAAGAUAAAUGUUCUUUGAACUUGCCUCGUACGUUAACCUGCUACCAAUACGGUCUACCGUAUGUAUGUCUAGCAGUCAAGUGAAGAUAAAUUUGAAAUGUAACUAUUACGUUCGUUUGCAAUGUGGAAUAGUUACCUAGGAUGAUCAUGAGUAGAUACUUUCUGGAUGUCAUAAUUUGGGAUGUAGGUGUCCGUUUUUGGUGCAUAAUACAUUGUUUUGAAGGUUACGAUGAGAUGAAUCAAACCUAGAAUGCUCACACUAUUCUGCCCAAUCAUUUUGCAGUUUUAUGUUGUUUUCCUAUGUUUCUGUUAAUGAUGGGAUGACCAUCUUUUAGCAUAGUAAAGGUUGGAAUCAUAUGGUAUGCCUAAAAUAAAUUGUCACACUAGAUUUAUAUACUCAUUCUCUAAUCCACUGAGAGUAUCUUCUAGUUCAGCUAUUUCUUUUUGCGGUACAAAAGAGAAAUGUUGUUUGAACUUGCCUCGUAUGUUAACCUUGUACCAAUAAGUAUGAUUUAACUAAAGUCUUGAGCACACGAGCAGUUUUGCUUUUAAAAGAAAAACAACUAUUUACCCUGGCUGCUCUCUAUCUCUCCUCACCAACUGAGUCACCGGUUGGUUGCAUUUUACUAACGAUGCCGACUGAGAGAUCACAAUCCCUGUACGCGUCCACCCUAACUGAUUUUUACGGCAAUUAAUGAUAUAAAAUUAUUUAAAUGAAAGUAAUUUAAAUUUAUUUUUCAAGUCACCAGGAGCUUCAAUUCCUACUGGGCACCAUAUGGCACUGCCUAUGGAAUCAUUCAAUGGUCUUAUAGUACAUAAAUCACUUUCUUUUUCAUGUGUGGAUAGAGAUAAUAUGAAUAAACAUACGACUCUUUUCAAAUAUUAAAAGAAAAUAAAUACAUCAUUAUGAUAUUUACAAUAAAAAUCACACACUCAAGAUUUUAGUUAAAUCAUACUUAUUCAAAUUUCAGACAAAAAGAAAAAGAAAUGUCACCUUUAGCCUUUAAUUAAAAAGUGUAUGGGGUAAAUAUAUUAGUAAAUGAGAACUAGUAGUGGUCAAAACAUAAUAACUCUAAUUGUAGGGUCAAUUUUGUAAACAUAGUAAACUUUUUGAAUGUACGAUGGACUGGUUUUAUUGUUGUAGUUAAUUUUGUGUGAUACAAAAAGUGAGAGAGUGUGAAACGACGAUGAUGAGUCACAAAAUAGAGGAAUCUUUAUAUUUUCAACCCACUUAAACUGUCACAGAGAGAAAACGACAUGGAAUCUUUAAACUGUCACAGACAGAAAACGACAUGGAAUCGCGUUAUAAUUGCAAAAUCCACAAACUUUCUGCGAAACCGACUUACCAGCAAGUCGCGGACUCGCGGCCUCAGUUUCAACUCCCGGCAUCAGCGCACUUGAAAAUAUAAAUACCCCAGCGACGAGAUAAUUCUUUUAAGCAGAGAUAAUUGAGAUGUUCUUAAAGUGACAGUUUUUUUUCUUUUUCACCUUUUCCCUUCCAAGUUUCCAGCUGAGUUUACAUUUUUAAGCAGAGUCCUCUCUUUCUCUUCUAUAAAGGGAACUUGAUUUAUAGAAGAGAUAAGGCCGUGUCCCUUUGCUCAUUUGCUGCUGCAGCUCUCCUCUUCUUCCUUUUUCCUCUCUUAUCUCUUCUACUCUUCGAUUGCUCUGGUCGACACGGCCUUUGAUUGCUCUGUCAAUCUAUACAAGACAUAUACAACACGACUUCAGAUCUUUUAGGAUCGGGCUUCUCUCUUCGUACUUGCGGCUUUCUCUCUUAUAAAGGUUUCAUUUCGAUUUUGAUUUGGAGUAAUAGUCCUUCAGGAUCGUGCUUGUCUCUUCAUACUUGCGGCUGUCUCUCUGAUAAGGUUUCGUUUCGAUUUUGAUUUGGAGUUGCUUUUUCUUUUAUUUUCAAGUAGAUUUGUUUCAAUUGAAAUGUUGGUUGUUAAUUUGGUGUUGUGUUAAGUUUUGCAGGUAAUGAUUGCUCUGAUCAAGCUAUUACAAAAUGGCUGACGGGAAAAGAAAGUCAACCCAGCAAUCUUGACCGUCUCCCUUCUCUCUCUGACCUGAGCCACAACGUGUAUUUAAAAAUAAAACUUUACCCUAUAUAUAUACAGACAAUGUUCAAAAGAAAACAAAAAAAAAUCCCAAAUUUCUUUUUUAAAUUCUUACCAAUCAAUAAAAGUAUUUGAUAAUUUUUUUUUUCACAAUAACUAUGACUUGAAAAAAUUAAACUAAUAUUAAAUGAGACUAAAUACAUAAUGAUCUCUUAAAUUCCUGUUUUUCUAAAGGAAUGGAUCUAAUACUUUCCUUAAUAUAGUAUUUUAAUGGGUCUGCAGGAACAAAUUUUAUUUGUCCGCGAUGUCAAACGCAUACCAUAACGUGUUUGGAUACCUCAUUCCAAUUCUCAUCGGCAUCGUGGGAGCAAAUAUGCAAGGCACAACUGAGCGCUUGCUUGAAACACACACAACAAAUAUAUGGUCUUUUCUCAUAACCACAGCCAUUUAUUGUUAUGCAUAUUUAGCUCAUCAAGAGAAUUUUUCCCAAUCUUGGGCCCUUGUAGCACGAGUCUCCGGAUCUGUUUCUGCAGUCUCCCUAGCCUCCACAUUUGUUCCACGCUCUGAUAUUGGUCAUAUCAUAUUGUGCACUGCAUGGCUUUGCUCGUCCAUUAUCAUUGUUGUGCAUCAAUAUGGGGCGCUGUUUGCAGAAGCUUGUCGUCGGCUCUACAACGAAACCUUGAAACCAUUUUGCAGUCAGCUCUAUAACGAAACCUUGAAGCCAUUUUGUAUCAAUAUUUGCAGUAGGUUUCAAUCUAAUGACACUUCCUCGGCAGGACAACAACGACCAACACUACCAGUUUAGAAGGGGGCUUCUUCAAAUGUUUCACCUUACACAGUACUACAGUAGCAAGCAAUCAUCUCAUGUACACGCAGUAAUUUUGAAAAGUAACAGAGAAAACAUAUUAGUGUCCAGAUUUCUUUGCUUGAAAUAGUGCUAAUUACUGUCGUCAAAUUUCAUCUUAUUCUUUUUAUUCCCUCACAUGCAUUGUUUUAUUGAUAUUAUACAAGAAAAUGCGUUGUUCAAUAUUAUGCAAAUAUUUUUUUUUUCUCAAAUAAUUUAAAUUUCAAAGAUUGCAAUGAAAUUUAAUUUAAGGAUUGCCCUUGAGCACUGUCAGCUACGACUCCAGUUUCCUGCAACAAUGAAAAAUUCUGUAAUAGUAAAAAGUCUCUCUUUUUUCGCAAUAUUAAGUCAAUAAUUUGAAAGGCAGAUUUAACAACAGGUUGGCCUAAUUUCAAAAUUUAAUCCAUGUAAUAUAGAAAGAAGACUAGUUCAAUGUAUAUGAGUCCACCAAAAAGUUAUUAAAAAUUUAGGAUUAAACACUUGGAAAUGGCAAUUAGGUACUACCUCAAGAGAUUUUACUGCUUGAACCAACCAAGGGGGUAUGUUUGCAAUUGUUGUGACUAAGUAUAAAUAGAUGGUUGGUCAGUGGUAAGAACCAGCCUUCUAGCAUCUUUGGGCACAAAGAACUCAAGAAAAAAGCCCACAUGAGACACAAGACCCAAUGCUCAGCAUGCAGCAAGCUUAUCUAGAUUCAGGUGCUUUAUGGAUCAAAUUCACAUUACAUGAAAAGUUCACUAUUCAGAAUGGCACUCUGUAUGACAGCAAAGAGAUAAGUGGAAGAAAAAAAUCUGAAAAUCAACAUACCUUUUUCUUUGUGAUUAGGUAGUCGAACCCCACUAGCUCGCUUAUUUCAAGCAGCCAGGUCAGCUCAACACGGUCGUCUUGUAUCCUUCAAGAUGCACAACCCCUGUGAAAUUUCCAUCCUGGUUCCUACUAAUUUGCUCCACAAUUGCAUUCCCAAUCUAUUUAUGUGAAUCUUAUUUCCAGAGAUCAACUCGGCAUUGGCAAGGUCCAUCCAUAUUGUUUUUGCACAUGUUGUAGCUUUCACUCCUACACCUUUACGCGUCUUAUGCCUCAGUUUGAUGCGAACUCAUGGUUUGUCAAGGCCAUUGGUAAGAGUCAGUCAGUCAGCAAUAGUAAUAUCUGCCUUUCUUCAAUCACAGCAGCGAGUAUAGGGCACGCAGGAUUAAUAAUCUUCUUAUUAAUAUAGUAGUUCAAAGUUUGUCACGUUCCAAAUGGUUGAGACUGUUUGAAGCCGCCAGAAAAAGUAGAGAUACAAAAGUUAUUCUUCCACUUAAGUGAUAACAAAUACUAUAUGAACUAUGACAAAUUACUUCAGCUACAUUGUCUUAGCAGUUCAAGGAUAAACUGCAUCAGAGACUCAAUUUUCAGUCCCCUACGAAUAAUUCUUUGAAUGGCAAAAAAAAAAAAGAGGAUUAUCUAAUCCAUUCUGUACAAACCACAAAAGUUUGCUAAGAGGCAUGUUACAGCAUUUUCAACCGGCUAAACUCAAAAAUUUGAACCUUUAUAUUCCAUAUCCUCUUGAACCAAAUGGUAUCAAGCAUUACGAGCAUUGUACUCACUAGAUCUCAAACUAAAAGACGUGAGAAUUAGUCCAUAAGUUAGGUAUAUCUUGUAAUUUGACCUGAUUUGAUGGUGGGUCUGGGUUGCAACGACUGGACGGGAUCUCAGACGGACUUGCUGGAAUGUUGCAUGUCAACUUCCUGCUACGACAACACUCCUAACAAUUAACAUCCCAAUUUUGCUUAUGAAAAAACAGGGAGAUAUUAGAAUGAUAUCUCAAUACUUCAAGCCAUUCACAAACAUUUUCCAUGUAAUUGGUUGCAAUACCAGACGAGCUUAAGCCUGCCACCAAUAAUCUGCUUCACCUUAAAUCACGAAUAAGGCAAAAAUGCUAUCCUCCGCUCAUCAUUCGGCCUCAACAGAUCACAGGUGGAAGGUUAAGUGUGUGAGUAGUUAAAGGGGAAAUACCCUUUUUGAUAAAUGUGCCAAGAUGAAAGUCACUAUAGUCAAAAGGGUAUAAAUAUCCCAACACAAGUCUAUAUGGUCAUUUCCGAAACCACGCAAAGACGUCGGUGUCGUUUCCCCACAACAAUAAAUAGAAAUCACCAUACUUCCACAAUUAUCCAAAGAGCGCGAACCCUGACACAUCAUAAAAACUAUUAUAAAUCUAUUUACAGAAUAAACUUGACUGAACGGAGGCAUCGUGUGAUAUUUGCAUCCCCACAAUUUCUUAUCAGAUUCAAUUCAUAAAACAAAUAGGAACACGUAUAAAAUUUAAAUAAAAUUCUUUCAAAUUUUUUUUUUGUUUGGUGCGCGCGCGCCAAAAAUUGAAAUUUUGCAGAUUAAAUUACUACCAGAUGAUGAAGUACAAAACAAAAAUCAUCAUAUUCUGACAAUGACACAUAAUAGAAAACAAAACAAAAAAAAAAUCGAGACUUACGUUGUCAUUCAAAGCUUUGAUCCAAUUUGAGCAUCCUGAAACAGGGUUUUUCUUAAUCAUUCUUAGCGUUUUCUUCGUGAAGUUUGACUUUAUAUGCAAAGGAAAGUAGGUCACUAAUUAUUAAAUUAUCAAAAUACCCUUGACAUUUAAGUGUACAGGAGCUGACGCUUAAGGGUAUCGUAGUCAUUGUAUGGGUUUAGGCACCCAUUUGGGACGAAUAGAAAACUACCGUCCUUAUUUGAGAAAUAAUGCUAUUUGACACAGAAGUAUAAAUAAAUUCUCAACUUCCUCCCGUUUCCGUGAAAAUUUUGUUUUCAGUGCAGUGGAAUUGAAUUAAUCUGAAGGAAAAAAAAAAUUGUUGGUAUGUGGAAAUUAUACUUGAAACGUUGUCGUUUUUGGCAUAAUUGCUGUGAUAUACUUAUUUGCUUUGUGUUUUUAUUUCUUUUUUCUGGGUUUUAGGGUCACAAUCGGAGAGAGAAGACAAUGUCUCGUUGGAACUCUCUGAAGAAGUUCUUCAGAGCAUGGAAGUGGGCAUUUCUUUUAGAGAUUAUGUAAGAGAAUCUUCUAAUAAGUUUCUGUUUGAGGAACAUACUUGAUUUGCGUUUUAAAUGUAUCUGUUUGUUAAUUCAGUGUCGUUUUGUAUUGAUUCGUGUUUUAACAGAAUGGGAGAAUUAGUUCCUUGGAUUUUCAUAAAUCAUCGAGUUAUUUGGUGACGGCUAGUGAUGAUGAAUCUAUACGGCUGUACGAUGUCUCUGCUGCCACUUAAGUUGAUCCUCUGUUUCUUAGGAUUUUAUGUUGUCUCUUGGGAAGUGCUUUUAACUAAGAAAUGGCUUUUGAAUAAGUAUAAAAAGCUGGUUUCAAUCUUGCAAUGUUUGUUUGAAAUUGCAGGAAUAAUAAAGUGUCUCUUUUGAAAUCAAAGGAACCCUUGAAGUGUUUUUCUGGGGAAGUGCUUGAUAUCUGCUUUCAUGGAUAGAACUUUUUGGAUUAGGAAACCACUUGUAGUGCUGUUUGAAGAAGUGCUUCAUAUAUGUUUCAAAGUGAUUUUACUCGAGGGUACUUUCCAUUAAAGCAUUGCUGAACGUAUCAUCUGCGUGUUUGAUGAGCUCAUGAAAGCUACUGUCUUUCUAAGAUGGAGAAAAAUGCUUUUUAGAUGAAACAGAAAAAAAAAAAAAAAAAUAGAACCUUGGAGUGGUUUUCGGGGAAGUGCUUAAGGGAAAUGUAAUUGAUAUAUUUUUCAAGAACUUUUGUAAAAAGGCCUUUUCUUUUCUUUCUUUUUUUUUGUUUGCAUAAGCUCUUUCUAUAAGAUCACUGCCAAAUGCACUUCAGUUGUCUUAGCUGAGCAUGAUAGUUGGUAUUGCAAUUGUUGCUGAGAGCCUUAAUUGAAAUUUCAGAUGUUUGAAGACAAUUAACAGCAAAAAAUAUGGGAAUAUUUGUAUUUUGUUUGUUGGUGGAUUGCUUUACUAGGCACUUAUUUGAUACGUUCAUUUAUUCAGAAUCUCUACGGCUUCUUUCCUCGCACGAUAACAAGUACUUGCGUUACUUCAAAGGUCAUCAUAACAGGUUUGUAAUUCACUUAUUCUUGUAAAUAUUUCGUAAUUAUUAUUAUCUGUAUAUAUGUUUUACUGCUUCUAGGGUUGUUUCACUUAGCCUGUGCUCCUCCAAAGAUUGCUUUAUCUCUGGUUCUCUUGGUCAAUCUGUUCUGCUCUGGGAUCAACGGGCUGAGAAAUGCUAGGUGGAUAUCAUGCCAUCCACCAUUUUCAAUUGUAUUUAUGAUCUCUGUUGGCAAAUACGGGUCUUUUGCAUGUUCAAGGAAGGCCUGCUACAGCAUAUGAUGAUCAAGGGCCUGUCUUUGCAGUUGCCUUUGGAGGAUACAUAAGAAUGUUUGAUGCUCGUAAGUAGGAGAAAGUUAAAAUUAAUAUUUAAAAACAUCUUGGAAGUUUAUAUGUCGUACUUUUAUCAUGCACUAAUUUGGUUAAAUUUGGAUACAUCUUCUCUGAUGGUGGAGAUGUAUCAGAUUCUGAUGCUGGAAAGUUCAGCAAUGAUGGGAGACUUAUGCUUCCGACCUCUAUGGAAGGACAUAUUCAUGUGCUUGACUCAUUCCAAGGCACACUUGUGAGUUGACUUUUUCUUUCUUCAUCUCCCAAAUGUAACAUAUCGUACGUAUAUACCCCUCUAUACACUGGAAUCUCUGUGAAUGAGCUUCUGUUUACUCUUGUUUUUAUUUAUCCACUUAUGAUGCCAAGCCAGUUUCUCGCAAUUCCACAUUGGAGGCAUCUUUCAGCCCGGUAGAGUUUCUCCUUUCAGUUCUUAGGGCACAGUGACUUGGAUAUUUUGUUAAUAUUUGCUUUUGGCUGUUUUGAUAAUUUAUAUUAAAGUUCUUGCACUUGUGCUGUAUAUAAUUCUCAAAUUUGUUACCACCUUGUUGGUAUAUUGAAAUACACGACUUGAAAUGCUGGGCAUCAAGCUUGUUUCCGCAGAAUUCUUUGAAAUAAAUUCAUUUUCUCUUCUUCAUUGACUUGGUUUGAAACCCACUCCCAUCCAUGCAAAUCCAAAUGCGUACGUAUUUUCAUCUGGUUGUGCUUAUUAAUAAAAAUAAAUCAAUGAAAUGCUCAAACAGCAAGUGCACCCACACAUGUGGAAGCAGCCUAGUGUGGCCAAGCACCUCUCAUUUGUUUUAUGUGAUACAAUUGGUUUGUUGCACUCUUUGUGCUAAUUUUACUUUCUCGGUUUGGAAGGUUCUGAUGAUGGUAGUGGAUAUGCUUGGAGUGUACGGAGCGGGAAAGGGGUAUGAUAAGCAAAAUUCCUGGAUUCUCAUGCCUUUUGAAUGCUUAGAAUUCAAAGGGAUGUUAUUUCCCUUACAUUGACCCCAGUCAUAGCAUUCAUUGUCUUCUAGCCAAACCAACAAUGCUUUUGAAUCUACAUUUGAGCUUUGUAUAAGAAGUUGCACCAAUUAUGUAAGGAGAUGUUCAAUUUCCUAUAGUAGUAUGUAAAUGCAUCUGACUUACCUGCUAGUAACCUUUCCUAACAAGUUCUGAAGAAACAACAGUAGAUCUGGUAUCAGUACUUUAUUCAGAAGAGCAUUUCUUCUUACAUGCACAGCUAAGAGUACAUGAAUUGAGCUACUGAAGCCCUUCCUGACCAACCUGGCUAAGGCUCCGUUCAGUUUGUCCUCUUCAUGGUUCUUUGGCAGGCAACAGCGUAAGCAAUUACCUGGACUAUGAGGCCUUUUGUAGCGGGGUGGGCACUGCCUAGGCAGUUUUUGAAAAAAUUAGGAGCUUUAUUUGUCAUUGACAUUU
Molecule: long non-coding RNA, 44138 nt
Filed under: Citrus maxima (pomelo)
Lineage: Eukaryota; Viridiplantae; Streptophyta; Magnoliopsida; Sapindales; Rutaceae
Description: long non-coding RNA (CMAX_LNC001185)
Source: RNAcentral